Molecule: ribosomal RNA, 303 nt
Filed under: Babesia microti
Lineage: Eukaryota; Apicomplexa; Aconoidasida; Piroplasmida; Babesiidae
Description: SSU rRNA
Rfam family: Eukaryotic small subunit ribosomal RNA
Source: RNAcentral
GGUCUUGUAAUGGAAUGAUGGGAAUCUAAACCCUUCCCAGAGUAUCAAUUGGAGGGCAAGUCUGGUGCCAGCAGCCGCGGUAAUUCCAGCUCCAAUAGCGUAUAUUAAAGUUGUUGCAGUUAAGAAGCUCGUAGUUGAAUUUCUGCCUUGUCAUUAAUCUCGCUUCCGAGCGUUUUUUUAUUGACUUGGCAUCUUCUGGAUUUGGUGCCUUCGGGUACUAUUUUCCAGGAUUUACUUUGAGAAAACUAGAGUGUUUCAAACAGGCAUUCGCCUUGAAUACUACAGCAUGGAAUAAUGAAGUAG